Molecule: ribosomal RNA, 465 nt
Filed under: uncultured bacterium
Lineage: Bacteria
Description: partial 16S ribosomal RNA
Rfam family: Bacterial small subunit ribosomal RNA
Source: RNAcentral
AAUGAACGUUGGCGGCAUGGAUUAGGCAUGCAAGUCGAGCGCGAAACGUAGCAAUACGUGGAGAGCGGCGAAAGGGAGAGGAAUAUGUGGGAACCUACCUUCGGGCCUGGAAUAGCGGCGGGAAACUGCCGGUAAUGCCAGAUAACGUCCCCGGACCAAAGGUGUGAUUCCGCCUGGAGAUGGGCCCACAUCCUAUCAGCUUGUUGGUGUGGUAACGGCGCACCAAGGCUAAGACGGGUAUGGGGUGUGAGAGCAUGCCCCCACGCACUGGGACUGAGACCCUGCACAGACAGAUACGGGUGGCGGCAGGCGAGAAACUUCGGGAAGGAGCGCAAGAUUGAGCGAGCGAGGCCGCGUGCGGGAUAAAGGCCGUCGGGUUGUAAACCGCUGUCGUAGGGGAAUAACGGUCGGUGGGUUCUCCCAUCGAUUUGAAUGCUCCUAGGAGGAAGGACGGGCUAAGUUCGU